RNAcentral lists this long non-coding RNA (972 nucleotides) under Anser brachyrhynchus (Pink-footed goose). RNAcentral describes it as "lncRNA (ENSABRG00000009814.1)". Lineage: Eukaryota; Metazoa; Chordata; Aves; Anseriformes; Anatidae. The record is from RNAcentral.
AAGACUCUCAAGAAGGAGCUACCUCAUGUAGCAAACCACUCUGUAAGGGACCAGGCUCCAUGGCAGUUGUUGCUCAGAUGGCCAGACCCUAGACUGCUAGAGCCCUCCUGUUCAUCUCAGCUGAAGUCUGCUCCUUCUCUGAGAAGUCUCUUGUGUCCACGACUGCUGGCUCCCCUCCACCCACCUGACCCAAGUCCUGAACAAUUUGCUGUCUUAGCAGUAACAGACUAUUCAGCAUUUAUUUUGAAGAACAGUACUUUUAUGAAGUAUCAUGGUAAAAAAAUUACUAAUAAGGAUGCUAAGACAGAGCACAUAGAGUACCUUGGAAAAUCCAGCUUACUUCCAGGAAGCUGCACUGACUUCAGUGGUCCUUUAUACAGGAAGAAAGCCCUGCAUUGCUGUUGAGAUCUGCAAUUACAACUGAAAGAUGAAUACUGGGAUAUGAUAGAAAAGGCCGAGGCUAAGAGGUAGUCCUACACACAGAGAGAAACCUAUGUGAACUUCUAGAUAUAAGAAAGUGAAGUUUUACUUCUGAGAUAUAGUCUACUCAGCUAUUCCUGGAUGGGACUGCAGUGGUAAUGCAACGGAAGUGAGUAUUGUAACAUCUCUUGUACGUUGUGUGCUGCUGUGUUCUAUAUGUCUUCUAUAGUUGGGUAUUUUGGACUAUUUCUUCUGCAUUAAUCCUCAUGAAUUUCCUUUGGAGCUUCAGAAUUGAUGACAUGAUGUAGUGUAUGCAUGGUAAUAGACAGGUGGCAAAUAUGUAUACAGUAUCUUUUCUUUUUAAUUUAAAACUUCAAGGAUGAAAAAAAGGCAUAUUUUCUGCCAUUUUAUGUAAUUCUUGUGGAAUAACAGAGAGUGUAGUAAUCCAAUCUACAUAUGCUUUAUGCUAUCCAUCCAAUUAUUCUGGGUAGGGUCUCCAUAUGUGUAUGUUCUGACAAGUCCUAAAAUAAAUUACCAUGUGGUAUUGUUUCA